This 584-nucleotide ribosomal RNA is filed under the name uncultured Actinomycetes bacterium. RNAcentral's name for it is "bacterial SSU rRNA". It matches the Rfam family "Bacterial small subunit ribosomal RNA", at positions 338 to 939 of the family's 1533-position model. The record is from RNAcentral. Lineage: Bacteria; Bacillati; Actinomycetota; Actinomycetes.
CCUACGGGAGGCAGCAGCAGGGAAUCUUGCGCAAUGGGCGAAAGCCUGACGCAGCAACGCCGCGUGGGGGAUGAAGGCCUUCGGGUUGUAAACCCCUUUCAGGAGGGAAGAAAUUGACGGUACCUCCAGAAGAAGGACCGGCCAACUACGUGCCAGCAGCCGCGGUAAUACGUAGGGUCCGAGCGUUAUCCGGAAUCAUUGGGCGUAAAGAGCUCGUAGGCGGUUCAACAAGUCGGCUGUGAAAGUCCGAGGCUCAACCUCGGAAUUGCAGUCGAAACUGUUGUGACUCGAGUCCGGUAGAGGAGAAUGGAAUUCCCGGUGUAGCGGUGAAAUGCGCAGAUAUCGGGAGGAACACCAGUAGCGAAGGCGGUUCUCUGGGCCGGCACUGACGCUGAGGAGCGAAAGCGUGGGGAGCAAACAGGAUUAGAUACCCUGGUAGUCCACGCCGUAAACGUUGGAUACUAGGUGUGGCGGUCAUACCAACGACUGCCGUGCCGAAGCUAACGCAUUAAGUAUCCCGCCUGGGGAGUACGGCCGCAAGGCUAAAACUCAAAGGAAUGACGGAAUCGUCGACUGCAGGACCC